RNAcentral lists this ribosomal RNA (499 nucleotides) under uncultured soil bacterium. RNAcentral's name for it is "bacterial SSU rRNA". It matches the Rfam family "Bacterial small subunit ribosomal RNA", at positions 26 to 505 of the family's 1533-position model. The record is from RNAcentral.
AGAACGAACGUUAGCGGCGCGCCUAACACAUGCAAGUCGCACGAGAAAGGGCUUCGGCCCCGGUACAGUGGCGCACGGGUGAGUAACACGUAGGUAAUCUCCCCUUGAGCGGUGGAUAACCCUCCGAAAGAAGGGCUAAUACAGCAUAAGACCACGGCCUCUUCGGAGGACGCGGCCAAAGCAGGCCUCUACAUGUAAGCUUGCACUCGAGGAUGAGCCUGCGGCCCAUCAGGUAGUUGGCAGGGUAACGGCCUACCAAGCCUAAGACGGGUAGCUGGUCUGAGAGGAUGAACAGCCACACUGGAACUGACACACGGUCCAGACUCCUACGGGAGGCAGCAGUGGGGAAUCUUGCGCAAUGGGCGAAAGCCUGACGCAGCGACGCCGCGUGAGCGAUGAAGGCCUUCGGUUGUAAAGCUCGUGUGGGAGAGAAGAAGUAAGGCUGGCUAAUAUCCAGCCUGAUGAACGGUAUCUCCUUAGCAAGCACCGGACUAACUCG